GCUGGCGGCGUACUUAACACAUGCAAGUCGUACGAGAAAUUCCGUUUCGGCGGGAGAGUAAAGUGGCGAACGGGUGAGUAAUACAAGGGUAAUCUGCCCUUAAAUUAGGGAUAACCUUGCGAAAGCGAAGCUAAUACCUGAUAAGACUACGACCUCUUAGGGGGAUGUAGGAAAAGAUGGCCUCUGUUUCAAGCUAUCGUUUAAGGAUGAGCCCUUGCACUAUUAGCUUGUUGGUGGGGUAACGGCCCACCAAGGCUACGAUGGUUAGCUGGUCUGAGAGGAUGACCAGCCACACUGGAACUGAGACACGGUCCAGACUCCUACGGGAGGCAGCAGUGAGGAAUAUUGCGCAAUGGGGGAAACCCUGACGCAGUGACGCCGCGUGAGUGAUGAAGGCUUUCGAGUCGUAAAGCUCUGUUAGGUGGAAAGAAACAUUCCAACGCUAAUAUCGUUGGAACUUGACGGUACCACCAGAGGAAGCACCGGCUAACUCCGUGCCAGCAGCCGCGGUAAUACGGAGGGUGCAAGCGUUGUUCGGAAUUACUGGGCGUAAAGGGCGUGUAGGCGGUUAGGCAAGUCAGGUGUGAAAUCCCUUGGCUCAACCAAGGAAGUGCGCUUGAAACUGCUUAACUCGA
Molecule: ribosomal RNA, 635 nt
Filed under: uncultured Pseudomonadota bacterium
Lineage: Bacteria; Pseudomonadati; Pseudomonadota
Description: bacterial SSU rRNA
Rfam family: Bacterial small subunit ribosomal RNA
Source: RNAcentral